GUCUACAGCCAUGCCACCCUGAACAAACCUGAUCCCUCUGAUCUCGGAAGCUAAGCAGAGUCAGGCCUGGUUAGUACUUGGAUGGGAGACCACCUAGGAAGACCAAGUGCUGUAGGUG
RNAcentral lists this ribosomal RNA (118 nucleotides) under Pteropus alecto (black flying fox). Lineage: Eukaryota; Metazoa; Chordata; Mammalia; Chiroptera; Pteropodidae. The record is from RNAcentral.